This 470-nucleotide ribosomal RNA is filed under the name uncultured organism. RNAcentral's name for it is "partial 16S ribosomal RNA". It matches the Rfam family "Bacterial small subunit ribosomal RNA", at positions 335 to 797 of the family's 1533-position model. The record is from RNAcentral.
ACUCCUACGGGAGGCAGCAGUGGGGAAUUUUGGACAAUGGGCGAAAGCCUGAUCCAGCAAUGCCGCGUGAGUGAAGAAGGCCUUCGGGUUGUAAAGCUCUUUUGUCAGGGAAGAAACGGUGAAAGCUAAUAUCUUUUGCUAAUGACGGUACCUGAAGAAUAAGCACCGGCUAACUACGUGCCAGCAGCCGCGGUAAUACGUAGGGUGCAAGCGUUAAUCGGAAUUACUGGGCGUAAAGCGUGCGCAGGCGGUUUUGUAAGUCUGAUGUGAAAUCCCCGGGCUCAACCUGGGAAUUGCAUUGGAGACUGCAAGGCUAGAAUCUGGCAGAGGGGGGUAGAAUUCCACGUGUAGCAGUGAAAUGCGUAGAUAUGUGGAGGAACACCGAUGGCGAAGGCAGCCCCCUGGGUCAAGAUUGACGCUCAUGCACGAAAGCGUGGGGAGCAAACAGGAUUAGAAACCCUGGUAGUCCC